UACAGAGGGUGCGAGCGUUAAUCGGAAUUACUGGGCGUAAAGCGUGCGUAGACGGCUAUCUAAGUCGGGUGUGAAAGCCCCGGGCUCAACCUGGGAAUUGCAUUCGAGACUGAAUAGCUAGGGUACGGUAGAGGGAAGCGGAAUUUCCGGUGUAGCGGUGAAAUGCGUAGAUAUCGGAAGGAACAUCAGUGGCGAAAGCGGCUUCCUGGACCAGUACCGACGUUCAGGCAUGAAAGCGUGGGGAGCAAACAGG
RNAcentral lists this ribosomal RNA (253 nucleotides) under uncultured bacterium. RNAcentral describes it as "partial 16S ribosomal RNA". It matches the Rfam family "Bacterial small subunit ribosomal RNA", at positions 524 to 776 of the family's 1533-position model. The record is from RNAcentral.